This is a long non-coding RNA of Coturnix japonica (Japanese quail), 1672 nucleotides long. RefSeq lists it as uncharacterized. NCBI's taxonomy places the organism in Eukaryota, Metazoa, Chordata, Aves, Galliformes, Phasianidae. The record is from RefSeq and is a predicted model, not a curated record.
CCCCCCCCCCCCCCAGGUCCAGCUCUUCACUUCACAGAUAAGAGCAGAUUAAGAAAAUGCAGCGAAUGAUGCAGCACCCUUUUCAAGUCAGUUAUCUUGCAGACAUAAACAAUAGAAUGUUUUUGUUUUUUUUUUAUUCUGAGGAAAAUCUUGAACAUAUUCAUAGUGUUUCUAUUAAAUUUUGUGGGCCAUCAGUAUACUAAAAUCUGCUCAGAAUAGGUAAGUCAUUCAAUAGAAUAUUACAGAUUAUUUUCCUUGCUUUUUCUGGCUUGAAUCCAGACUUAGGACAGCUUGGAUAUAUUAGCACCUGAGAUGUCUGCAGGCAGUUUAAAUUAGCUGUUUACCUGGUUGGUUUAUGAAAGAUGAUAGGAGAUUGGGCACUUAUUCUCAUGAUUAUUUCAGUGUCUACAUGCUCACAGUGAAAUUUGCCUGUUAGUUUUCCACUGGAACUAAAAUAAAGCUUUACAAGAAUAUUAAGCACUUGUGUGAGAUGAGACUGAAGAUACAGAACUAGUGUCUGGCUAUGUUCUAGGCAAUUUCUUUACUUGAAUUUGCUCUUCAGCUUAAGUUCACUGGCUGCUCAAAGCAUCAGCUGGCUUACCUGCAGUAUUAAAACUGGGAACUACAGGGCAGUCAUACAGUUACAUUUUUAACCAGUUUCAGUUACAUUUCCAACGGCCACAGCCGUGCUGGCAGCAGGUGGUGCUGAAGGGAGCAGAGGUUAAAAGACUAAGCAGAAAAAGUUGAAUGCCUGGAGGAGAAAAUCUGAUCAUUUAACACACUGUAGUUACGCUUUAAAGGUUUCAGAUGAUGAACUGCAAUUGCAUAGUGUGGGGAUUCUUUUGGCUCAUUGUGCUGCUCUUUCUUGGCUGGCCCAUAAGCAUAGCCUUGUGUGCCCUCCAUGGAUUCCUUUCUCCUCUUGUGAUUUUAAUAGGACUGGAUGAAUUAGGUGAAGUGCUACUGAAGGGUGCAUGUCUGGGGAGGCAGUGUGCUCAGAAUGUGCGUAAUGGCAAGGCCCUCUGUUAAGCAGUGAAGACAGUAAAACAAACAUUCACCUGCAUGUUACAAGAUUUUAAAGUUUACUCUGUAAAUCUUACAUUUUUUUCCAGUUCUAAAUAAUGUAUUUAUUUAUUUUAAGUUUUUGAGUGUGUAUUUCUCUUAUGGAUGUCUGGAAACUUUGGCAAUUCAGAAGUUUGUCACUGAUAAUUCAUAAUACAAGUUGUAGCUGUUGUUUUGAAAGUGGGUAAUGAUGCUGUACAUGGAGAAGGUAGAGAAGUAUGUAUUGCAAGAUUUGAACUGAGUGUCAAAAUCUGUUUAAAUGGUUGAAAAUACUGCCUAUGGGGUGGAAUGUCCCAAAUGGGUCUGACUAUGACACUUGAGAAGAGUGGAUUCUGAACUGGAAAUUUAUUUUUGUGAACACUUUAUUCUACAGUGCACACUGUUCAAUAGUGUGAAUAGAUGUGAAAUUCUGAUGUCUGUAUAGCAUGUAUCUUUUCAUUUUUUUAUGUUUCUGUUCUUUCUUUGCUUUAAAAAAGACAUAAUCUUUUGCACUAUGACAUCACUUUGUAUUAAUCUUCUGUGAACUGCAGGAUUUCAGUGGAACUACUUUGCUGAUGUGGGUUCACUGCACUGAUUUUCAAGUACAUUACAAUAAAGAACUUCUGUAAAAACA